CUUUAAGUACCUUUUAUUACUUUAAAUGAUGAUGGAGAGUAAUCUGAGCUAAAAUAGAGCCGUUAGAGUAUAUUAAAUGGGCAUUAAAUAUAGCCAGAACGAGUAAAAAAUUAGUCAUUGCGAAGUUUUUCCGUCGCAGGAGUCGACUCAUAGGAUCGACUCAUGCACAGAGAUCGACUCAUGGGAUCGACUCAUGCACAGGGAUCGACUCAUAGGGUCAGC
This 222-nucleotide long non-coding RNA is filed under the name Elaeis guineensis (African oil palm). RNAcentral's name for it is "long non-coding RNA (EGUI_LNC072648)". The record is from RNAcentral. Lineage: Eukaryota; Viridiplantae; Streptophyta; Magnoliopsida; Arecales; Arecaceae.